UGCAAUGAUGAUUAAACUAAAUCUCGUUAAUCCGAUUGAUUAAGCUGAGGAUAAUUUUGAAUUCCAUUCUUAAUUCUUUCUGAGC
Beta vulgaris subsp. vulgaris (sugar beet) is the source of this 85-nucleotide non-coding RNA. Lineage: Eukaryota; Viridiplantae; Streptophyta; Magnoliopsida; Caryophyllales; Amaranthaceae. The record is from Rfam.